Long non-coding RNA from Megalobrama amblycephala (Wuchang bream), 329 nucleotides. RefSeq lists it as uncharacterized. The transcript is spliced from 2 exons. The record is from RefSeq and is a predicted model, not a curated record. Lineage: Eukaryota; Metazoa; Chordata; Actinopteri; Cypriniformes; Xenocyprididae.
UGAACUCAUGUUUGUUUUUAUCACAUGUAUCACUAUUUUAAUUUUUUAAUACAGAGAUGAUCUGGUAAAAAAUAAAAUAGUAAAUUUCUAUGCACUUCUGUGGUUGUAGACAGCAGCGUGUGAACGGGACUUUUGUUUUGGUUUGAUGACGUGACGUCAUAAGGCGGCGCCGCGCUCCUGCUCCCGUUGUAAUUCGGCUAAAGAAAGGACAAACACACAGAAAACUCCUGGUGAAGCGACUGAGAUCCUUGUGAUACACUAUUAUAAAGAUGGCGUUUUUUAAAGAGGAGACUGAAGAUAUGAAGAUUGAAGAAACAUUCAGAAUUAAA